CAAGCAGUGGAAUAUGUGGUUUAAUUCGAAGCAACGCGAAAAACCUUACCAGGUCUUGACAUCCGAUGCAUAUCCUAGAGAUAGGUGAAGUCCUUCGGGACAUCGAGACAGGUGGUGCAUGGUUGUCGUCACCUCGUGUCGUGAGAUGUUGGGUUAAGUCCCGCAACGAGCGCAACCCUUAUCGUCUUUUACUACGCAAGAGGACUCUGGCGAGACUGCCGUUGACAAAACGGAGGAAGGUGGGGAUGACGUCAAAUCAUCAUGCCCUUUAUGACCUGGGCUACACACGUACUACAAUGGCGCUUAACAAAAAAAACCGAUACCGCAAGGUGGAAGAAAACUCAAAAACAGCGUCCCACUUCAGACUGCAGGCUGCAACUCGCCUGCCCAAACUCGGAAUUGCUAGUAAUCGCGGAUCAUCAUGCCGAGGUGAAUACUUUCCCGGGCCUUGUACACACC
Molecule: ribosomal RNA, 459 nt
Filed under: uncultured bacterium
Lineage: Bacteria
Description: bacterial SSU rRNA
Rfam family: Bacterial small subunit ribosomal RNA
Source: RNAcentral